CGAAGAAGACCUCAUCACUGGACGAAAAGCACAAAAGAAAAUCAUCUAUCGUGUUUUGAUGUCCGACCCUAAUUUUCCACCUUUUGUCUCGGUGUUAAUUUGACACUAAAAAAUCCCAUAUUUAUUAAAAGAAAUUUGGUUGAGUUUUAAUCCAUCUCUUCAAAGCAAAGAGAUGAUGAGUAAAGAAGGAUGUAUCCUUUUACUCUUCCAGGAGAAAGAAAUCCUAAGUUCUUUCUUCUCUGUUAUUCUUUUUGCUCUUUGUGCUCUAGGUUUCUGGCCGUUAAAAAUUUGUUACCGAAGGAAUUUCAAUCCUAGGCUUUAAAUGUCAAUAUUAUCAAGAAUAAGAUGAGGUCGGGGAGUGAUGGAUAUUUUCCGAUCAGGUGAAGUACCCACGACCCUUAUUUUGUGGUGAAGCAAUUCUGGAGUUAAUGAAUAUCAAAAAAGUUACUUAAAAAAAAAAACUCAGCACUCCUGAUUGGGUGUUUAAUGCCUUGCUGUCUUGCGACAACUUGCACAUCUCCUUGAUACUCUAUACUUUCUACCCUCCACAUCCAAGAAGUAUUUUCGCCAGGAAGAUGAGGAGGUUCAGUUUGGCUUUAACUAUCUUGAAAAUUAAUCAUCUGUAUAUGACUAGCAACUACCAGUCUCGAGUUUAUCCUCCUCUGGAUGGUGGCAGUCUGGCCUGACAUGAUGUUAGGUUUACUGACGGGUUGAUGUAAGCAGGAAAAAUCAUUUAAGAUCCUGAGCAUCUGUGAGGGGAAAGUAUAUUUACUCGCUAGAAGUAAAUGAAACUUAACUUAUGUUUUACUUUCUAUAAUUCCAACUUCAUUUGUUUCUCAUCUGCAAUCCAUCAGCUUUUGUUAAGAGCAAGGUUAAACUUCAUGAAGAUACGCUUCGUUUAUGUAUAUAAUACUUGCUUAUAUUCGUAG
Papaver somniferum (opium poppy) is the source of this 929-nucleotide long non-coding RNA. RefSeq lists it as uncharacterized. The transcript is spliced from 4 exons. The record is from RefSeq and is a predicted model, not a curated record. Lineage: Eukaryota; Viridiplantae; Streptophyta; Magnoliopsida; Ranunculales; Papaveraceae.